GCAGAUAUAGUUCAAUGGUAGAAUACUAGCCUUCCAAGCUAAGGAUGCGAGUUCGAUUCUCGUUAUCUGCUCCA
This 74-nucleotide transfer RNA is filed under the name Clostridium sp. Its description in RNAcentral is "tRNA-Gly". It matches the Rfam family "tRNA". From Rfam's summary of the family: Transfer RNA (tRNA) molecules are approximately 80 nucleotides in length. Their secondary structure includes four short double-helical elements and three loops (D, anti-codon, and T loops). The record is from RNAcentral. Lineage: Bacteria; Bacillati; Bacillota; Clostridia; Eubacteriales; Clostridiaceae.